Bos taurus (domestic cattle) is the source of this 73-nucleotide non-coding RNA. The record is from Rfam. NCBI's taxonomy places the organism in Eukaryota, Metazoa, Chordata, Mammalia, Artiodactyla, Bovidae.
UCCCUAGUGGUCCAGUGGUUAGGACUCUGAGCUUCCACUCCAGGGGGCACAGGUUCAAUCCCUGGUGGGGGAA